Propionispora sp. 2/2-37 is the source of this 3333-nucleotide ribosomal RNA. It matches the Rfam family "Bacterial large subunit ribosomal RNA". NCBI's taxonomy places the organism in Bacteria, Bacillati, Bacillota, Negativicutes, Selenomonadales, Sporomusaceae. The record is from Rfam.
AGUCAAGUUAUGAAGGGCAUACGGUGGAUGCCUAGGCGCCAAAAGCCGACGAAGGACGGGGUAAGCUCCGAAAAGUCAGGGGGAACCGCAAGCAGGUAGAGAUCCCUGAAUAUCCGAAUGGGGGAACCCGGCGGUGGUUAUGCACCGUCACCUAACAAAAGUUAGGGGGGCACCCGGGGAACUGAAACAUCUAAGUACCCGGAGGAAAAGUAAUCAAACGAGAUUCCCAAAGUAGCGGCGAGCGAACGGGGAAGAGCCCAAACCAGAAAGCUUCGGCUUUAUGGGGUUGAGGACCAGCAAAAGUUGAGUCAGGCCAAGCUGAACUACCUGGAAAGGUAGACCGUAGGAGGUAACAGUCCUGUAAGCGAAAGGCAGAGCAAGACGGCUGGAAUCCAGAGUACCACGAGACACGAGAAACCUUGUGGGAAGCAGGGGAGACCACUCUCCAAGGCAAAAUACUUUUGGCGACCGAUAGCGCAUAGUACCGUGAGGGAAAGGUGAAAAGCACCCCGGGAGGGGAGUGAAAGAGAACCUGAAACCGUAUGUCUACAAGCAGUCGAAGACCUGUAUAUGGUCGACGGCGUGCCUAUUGAAGAAUGAACCGGCGAGUUACAGUAGCUAGCGAGGUUAAGUAGGAAAUACGGAGCCGAAGCGAAAGCGAGUCUUAAGAGGGCGAAGAGUUAGCUAUUGUAGACCCGAAACCGCAGUGAUCUAUCCAUGUCCAGGUUGAAGCGCAGGUAAAAAUGCGUGGAGGACCGAACCCGUGAACGUUGAAAAGUUUUGGGAUGAGAUGUGGAUAGGGGUGAAAUGCCAAUCGAACGCGGAGAUAGCUGGUUCUCCCCGAAAUAGCUUUAGGGCUAGCCUCAAGAAAUAAGUACAGACGGUAGAGCACUGAUCGGGCUAGGGGCCAUAAAGGUUACCGAACCCAGUCAAACUUCGAAUGGCUGUACUGGAAUCUUGGGAGUCAGACUGCGAAUGAUAAGAUCCGUAGUCAAGAGGGAAAGAGCCCAGACCAUCAGCUAAGGUCCCCAAUGCCGUGCUAAGUGGCAAAGGAUGUGAAACUUCAGAAACAACCAGGAUGUUGGCUUAGAAGCAGCCACCAUUCAAAGAGUGCGUAAUAGCUCACUGGUCGAGAGGUUUUGCGCCGAAGAUGUCCGGGGCUAAAGCACGGAACCGAAGCUAUGGAUUUGAGAGGUGGGAGGCGAGAAGUUAGAAGUGGGAAUUCAAAGCUAUGAAGACUUGGAAGUAUAUCAACAAAGUUUUCGACUAGCAGUGGAAAUUCACAAACUAACCCAAAGCUUUCCCAUAGAAGAAAAGCGAGAACUAGGGUAUCAAAUGAGAAGAGCGGCAGUAUCCAUAGCAGCUAACAUAGCGGAAGGAUAUGGGCGCAAGAACUCAACAGCAGAAUUCAAGCAUUUUCUGCGAAAUGCUCUAGGAUCCAGCAAUGAAGUCAGCGUAUUACUGAAACUUGCCAAAGAAAUCGGAUAUCCGAUAGAAAGAAAAAUCAUAGAUGAAUACGAAGUAGUAGGCAAGCGGCUGUACCGACUGAUAGAAAGCUGGAAAUGAAGAAGUGAGAAGAACUCACAUCUAACCUCUCGCAUCUCACCUCUCAAGUGGUAGGGGAGCGUUCCAUACACGACGAAGGUAUACCGGAAGGAGUGCUGGAGAGGAUGGAAGUGAGAAUGCCGGUAUGAGUAGCGAAAAGGAAGGUGAGAAUCCUUCCCACCGAAAGCCUAAGGAUUCCUGAGCAACGAUCGUCGACUCAGGGUAAGUCGGGACCUAAGCCGAGGCGAGGAUGCGUAGGCGAUGGACAACUGGCAAAGAUUCCAGUACCACCUAAAGUCGAUUGAGCAAUGGAGUGACACAGGAGGGAAGUUAAGCGCGCGAAUGGAAGAGCGCGUCUAAGCCGGUAGGAUGAACGGGAGGCAAAUCCCCCGUUCGAAGAUCCGAGAAGUGAAGGGGAGCUAAAGGAAACUUUGGCGAAGUUAACCGGACCACACUGUCAAGAAAAGCUUCUAGCGAGACUGAAGGUGCCCGUACCGCAAACCGACACAGGUAGGCGGGGAGAGGAUCCUAAGGUGCGCGGGAAAACCCUCGUUAAGGAACUCGGCAAAAUGUCCCCGUAACUUCGGGAAAAGGGGAGCCAUGCUUGGUGAAGACCUAAACGGUUGGAGCGAAGCAAGGCCGCAGAAGAGAGGCCCAAGCGACUGUUUACCACAAACACAGGUGCCUGCUAAAGCGAAAGCUGACGUAUAGGUGCUGACACCUGCCCGGUGCUGGAAGGUUAAGGGGAGCGCUUAGCGGUAACGCGAAGGUGAGAACCGAAGCCCCAGUAAACGGCGGCCGUAACUAUAACGGUCCUAAGGUAGCGAAAUUCCUUGUCGGGUAAGUUCCGACCCGCACGAAAGGUGUAACGACUUGGGCACUGUCUCAACGAGGGACCCGGUGAAAUUGAAAUACCUGUGAAGAUGCAGGUUACCCGCGACUGGACAGAAAGACCCCAUGGAGCUUUACUGCAACCUGACAUUGGAUCUUGGUAAAGGAUGUACAGGAUAGGUGGGAGACGGAGAAGAUUGGACGCUAGUCUGAUUGGAGUCGAUGUUGGGAUACCACCCUUCCUUUAGUGGGAUUCUAACUUAAGGAGUAACGAAACUAAGGACAGUGUCAGGCGGGCAGUUUGACUGGGGCGGUCGCCUCCGAAAGAGUAACGGAGGCGCCCAAAGGUUCCCUCAGCGCGGACGGAAAUCGCGCGAAGAGUGCAAAGGCAGAAGGGAGCUUGACUGCGAGACGGACAGGUCGAGCAGGGACGAAAGUCGGGCUUAGUGAUCCGGUGGUGCCGAGUGGAAGGGCCAUCGCUCAACGGAUAAAAGCUACCCUGGGGAUAACAGGCUAAUCUCUCCCAAGAGUCCAUAUCGACGGGGAGGUUUGGCACCUCGAUGUCGGCUCAUCACAUCCUGGGGCUGAAGUAGGUCCCAAGGGUUGGGCUGUUCGCCCAUUAAAGUGGUACGUGAGCUGGGUUCAGAACGUCGUGAGACAGUUCGGUCCCUAUCCAUCGCGGGCGCAAGAGACUUGAAGGGAACUGCUCCUAGUACGAGAGGACCGGAGUGGACGAACCAAUGGUGUACCAGUUAUUCCGCCAGGAGUACAGCUGGGUAGCUACGUUCGGAAAGGAUAAACGCUGAAAGCAUCUAAGCGUGAAACCAGCCUUAAGAUGAGGUCUCUCAUAGCGCAGGCUAGUAAGGCCCCUUAUAGAAGAUAAGGUAGAUAGGCCAGGAGUGGAAGUCUUGCAAGAGAUGGAGCUGACUGGUACUAAUCGGCCGAGGGCUUGACUUA